CCUACGGGAGGCAGCAGUGAGGAAUAUUGGACAAUGGGCGCAAGCCUGAUCCAGCCAUGCCGCGUGCAGGAUGAAGCAUCUAUGGUGUGUAAACUGCUUUUAUACAGGAAGAAACCUCCCGACGUGUCGGGAAGUUGACGGUACUGUAAGAAUAAGGAUCGGCUAACUCCGUGCCAGCAGCCGCGGUAAUACGGAGGAUCCAAGCGUUAUCCGGAAUCAUUGGGUUUAAAGGGUCCGUAGGCGGGCCGAGUAAGUCAGUGGUGAAAUCUCUCCGCUCAACGGGGAAAUGGCCAUUGAUACUGCUGGUCUUGAAUUAUUAGGAAGUAACUAGAAUAUGUAGUGUAGCGGUGAAAUGCUUAGAGAUUACAUGGAAUACCAAUUGCGAAGGCAGGUUACUACUAAUGGAUUGACGCUGAUGGACGAAAGCGUGGGUAGCGAACAGGAUUAGAUACCCUGGUAGUCCACGCCGUAAACGAUGGAUACUAGCUGUUGGGGGCAACUUCAGUGGCUAAGCGAAAGUGAUAAGUAUCCCACCUGGGGAGUACGUUCGCAAGAAUGAAACUCAAAGGAAUUGACGGCUGAGACAGCGACGACGACGACGAGGGAGGAGG
This 611-nucleotide ribosomal RNA is filed under the name uncultured bacterium. RNAcentral's name for it is "bacterial SSU rRNA". It matches the Rfam family "Bacterial small subunit ribosomal RNA", at positions 338 to 951 of the family's 1533-position model. The record is from RNAcentral.